Molecule: ribosomal RNA, 276 nt
Filed under: uncultured bacterium
Lineage: Bacteria
Description: partial 16S ribosomal RNA
Rfam family: Bacterial small subunit ribosomal RNA
Source: RNAcentral
GCGUGAACGAUGAAGGCCUUCGGGUUGUAAAGUUCUUUUUAGCCGGAUGAGGAAGGACAGUACGGCUAGAAUAAGUCUCGGCUAACUACGUGCCAGCAGCCGCGGUAACACGUAGGAGACGAGCGUUAUCCGGAUUUACUGGGUGUAAAGCGCGUGCAGGCGGUUUCGUAAGUUGGAUGUGAAAGCUCCUGGCUUAACUGGGAGAGGUCGUUCAAGACUGCGGGACUAGAGGACAGCAGAGGGGAGUGGAAUUCCGAGUGUAGCGGUAAAAUGCAU